Molecule: ribosomal RNA, 411 nt
Filed under: Salmonella enterica subsp. enterica serovar Ruiru
Lineage: Bacteria; Pseudomonadati; Pseudomonadota; Gammaproteobacteria; Enterobacterales; Enterobacteriaceae
Description: bacterial SSU rRNA
Rfam family: Bacterial small subunit ribosomal RNA
Source: RNAcentral
GAACUCAAAGGAGACUGCCAGUGAUAAACUGGAGGAAGGUGGGGAUGACGUCAAGUCAUCAUGGCCCUUACGACCAGGGCUACACACGUGCUACAAUGGCGCAUACAAAGAGAAGCGACCUCGCGAGAGCAAGCGGACCUCAUAAAGUGCGUCGUAGUCCGGAUUGGAGUCUGCAACUCGACUCCAUGAAGUCGGAAUCGCUAGUAAUCGUGGAUCAGAAUGCCACGGUGAAUACGUUCCCGGGCCUUGUACACACCGCCCGUCACACCAUGGGAGUGGGUUGCAAAAGAAGUAGGUAGCUUAACCUUCGGGAGGGCGCUUACCACUUUGUGAUUCAUGACUGGGGUGAAGUCGUAACAAGGUAACCGUAGGGGAACCUGCGGUUGGAUCACCUCCUUACCUGAAAGAAGC